This is a long non-coding RNA of Neopelma chrysocephalum (saffron-crested tyrant-manakin), 397 nucleotides long. RefSeq lists it as uncharacterized. The transcript has 4 exons. The record is from RefSeq and is a predicted model, not a curated record. Lineage: Eukaryota; Metazoa; Chordata; Aves; Passeriformes; Pipridae.
ACGUAAUCCACAGGUCCCCGAGGUGAAGUGACCCAAAUCGCUCUAUGUCAGUCUCCGUCUUCCUUUCCUCAAGUCCUGGAGGACUCUCCAAGCCUUUUUCUUCUCCAUUCCUGUCACAAAGCGAAAUUCCGCGCUUCCACCAGCAUUUCUCCCAUUCACUGCCACAGCAGAGGUGAAGACCAAAAGCCGGGACUGGAGUCUCCUCAGGAUAAGCCCGGUGCCUUCGCAGCCGCAGUCAAAACCAUAUUAUCUAUGUUAAGUUAUAAUUUGUAUGAUCCUGAGAGGCACUCUGCAGUUCCCAGUAACAGGAGUAUGAACUAUGAGUAUUAAUGCGAUACCACUGCCACUCUGAAUUGUUUCCGGUUAACGCUGUGCAUCUGCAGGAUGAUUUCUGAGC